GUGCUCACUUCAGCAGCACAUAUGCUAAAGUUGGAACCAUACAGAGAUUAGCAUGGCUUCUGCACAAGGAUGACAUGCAAAUGCAAAUUUGUGAAGCUUUCCAAUUUUUU
Small nuclear RNA from Callithrix jacchus (white-tufted-ear marmoset), 110 nucleotides. NCBI's taxonomy places the organism in Eukaryota, Metazoa, Chordata, Mammalia, Primates, Cebidae. The record is from Ensembl.